Molecule: ribosomal RNA, 433 nt
Filed under: uncultured bacterium
Lineage: Bacteria
Description: partial 16S ribosomal RNA
Rfam family: Bacterial small subunit ribosomal RNA
Source: RNAcentral
AACGAACGCUGGCGGCAUGCCUAACACAUGCAAGUCGAACGAGACCUUCGGGUCUAGUGGCGCACGGGUGCGUAACGCGUGGGAACCUGCCCUUAGGUUCGGAAUAACUCCCCGAAAGGGGUGCUAAUACCGGAUAAUGUCUUCGGACCAAAGAUUUAUCGCCUUUGGAUGGGCCCGCGUUGGAUUAGCUAGUUGGUAGGGUAAAAGCCUACCAAGGCGACGAUCCAUAGCUGGUCUGAGAGGAUGAUCAGCCACACUGGGAGUGAGACACGGCCCAGACUCCUACGGGAGGCAGCAGUGGGGAAUAUUGGACGAUGGGCGAAAGCCUGAUCCAGCAAUGCCGCGUGAGUGAUGAAGGCCUUAGGGUUGUAAAGCUCUUUUACCCGGGAUGAUAAUGACAGUACCGGGAGAAUAAGCUCCGGCUAACUCCGUG